RNAcentral lists this small nucleolar RNA (50 nucleotides) under Pyrobaculum neutrophilum V24Sta. Its description in RNAcentral is "PNEsR51". The record is from RNAcentral. Lineage: Archaea; Thermoproteati; Thermoproteota; Thermoprotei; Thermoproteales; Thermoproteaceae.
GUGAUGAAGCCAGGCGCUGUAGAACCAUGAAGACAGCUCGAGAGGGCUGA